CACGUAGGAUGCGAGCGUUGUCCGGAAUUAUUGGGCGUAAAGAGCUCGUAGGCGGUGUGUCGCGUCGGCCGUGAAAACCUGCAGCUUAACUGUGGGCUUGCGGUCGAUACGGGCAUCACUGGAGUUCGGCAGGGGAGACUGGAAUUCCUGGUGUAGCGGUGAAAUGCGCAGAUAUCAGGAGGAACACCGGUGGCGAAGGCGGGUCUCUGGGCCGAUACUGACGCUGAGGAGCGAAAGCGUGGGGAGCAAACAGG
RNAcentral lists this ribosomal RNA (254 nucleotides) under uncultured bacterium. RNAcentral's name for it is "partial 16S ribosomal RNA". It matches the Rfam family "Bacterial small subunit ribosomal RNA", at positions 524 to 776 of the family's 1533-position model. The record is from RNAcentral.